Molecule: non-coding RNA, 72 nt
Organism: Rhincodon typus (whale shark)
Lineage: Eukaryota; Metazoa; Chordata; Chondrichthyes; Orectolobiformes; Rhincodontidae
Source: the annotation of a RefSeq genome assembly
UCCCUGGUGGUCUAAUGGUCAGAAUUCAGCAUUCUCACUGCUGCGGCCUGGGUUCGAUUCCCAGUCGGGGAA